Molecule: ribosomal RNA, 368 nt
Filed under: uncultured bacterium
Lineage: Bacteria
Description: bacterial SSU rRNA
Rfam family: Bacterial small subunit ribosomal RNA
Source: RNAcentral
AACGAACGCUGGCGGCAGGCCUAACACAUGCAAGUCGAACGCCGUAGCAAUACGGAGUGGCAGACGGGUGAGUAACACGUGGGAACGUACCCUUCGGUUCGGGAGUAACUCAGGGAAACUUGAGCUAAUACCGGAUACGUCCGAGAGGAGAAAGAUUUAUUGCCGAGGGAUCGGCCCGCGUCUGAUUAGCUUGUUGGUGAGGUAACGGCUCACCAAGGCGACGAUCAGUAGCUGGUCNGAGAGGAUGAUCAGCCACAUUGGGACUGAGACACGGCCCAAACUACCUACGGGAGGCAGCAGUGGGGAAGUAUUGGUACGAAUGGGCGCAAGCCUGAUCCAGCCAUGCCGCGUGAGUGAUGAAGGCCCUA